UGGAGUAUAGUUCAGUGGUAGAGCACUUGCCUGGCAUUCAGGAGGCCUGGGCUUUGAUCCCCAGUAAUGCAA
Molecule: transfer RNA, 72 nt
Filed under: Ictidomys tridecemlineatus (thirteen-lined ground squirrel)
Lineage: Eukaryota; Metazoa; Chordata; Mammalia; Rodentia; Sciuridae
Description: Spermophilus tridecemlineatus (thirteen-lined ground squirrel) tRNA
Rfam family: tRNA
About the family: Transfer RNA (tRNA) molecules are approximately 80 nucleotides in length.
Source: Rfam by way of RNAcentral